This 495-nucleotide long non-coding RNA is filed under the name Coturnix japonica (Japanese quail). Its description in RNAcentral is "lncRNA (ENSCJPG00005016629.1)". The record is from RNAcentral. Lineage: Eukaryota; Metazoa; Chordata; Aves; Galliformes; Phasianidae.
AAUGAAUUCGGAGUAGCAAAGCAAAGAACAGGAUGCUCUUAUCUUUGCAUGCUGCCUGCUACUAACUUUUCAUUUGUCUGCGUACUUGAAUGCAAAAUCCACACAGUACUGUGAACUCACAGUAGCAGCUGUGAGAUGUGCAAAGCAAUAGGACAGUGUAUAGCAUGGAUACUUCUCUGGUAUUUUUUUAAGGUACCGGGGAUAUGGCCAGUCUGCAAAUGGUCAGUGCAAUACCCUCAGUGAAGUGUGGUUUAUCUGAGAGAAGCUCUGUCUGCAUUACAAGAGCAAGUAAAUGGUAUCCUUUGGUGUCAGACCAAUUGUUCCUAGAAGAUUCUUUCUGUAUGCCUCCCAAAGAAUCCUUGUAAAUGCCUAAGUGUUUUGGUGUAGAUGAGCCAAAGCUCCUGCAAUGGACAUGGAAUGACUGCAGUUCUGUGACUCACUCAUUAGAGUAAGAAGUCUAAAGCCUCUGAGAAAUAAAACAACAAAACAAUGUCA